Long non-coding RNA from Zonotrichia leucophrys gambelii, 1497 nucleotides. RefSeq lists it as uncharacterized. The record is from RefSeq and is a predicted model, not a curated record. The transcript is spliced from 5 exons. NCBI's taxonomy places the organism in Eukaryota, Metazoa, Chordata, Aves, Passeriformes, Passerellidae.
CCCGGGUGGAGCCCUUUGAACCCUUCUGGGAGGUGUAUUGCAUAAGCAACAAGCAAGUACUUCUAAAUCCAACCUCUUGUGCAGUCAAGGUUAAAAGAAAGAUGGAAAUAUUCAGAAGGAUCACAAGCACCCCUGGAGAGCAGAUGGAGAACUGAGCGCUGACGAGAAGGAGGAAGCAAAGAGGAGCACUGAAAGCAGGAAUGCUUUGCUGCCAGAGAGAAAUUUUGCAAUUGAUGUGAAUCAAGAUGGGCCCCCACCUGCUGACUGCUAAAGCUGCUUCUGCUGAUUGUAACCACAGGAUUACUCAAAGUGUCUCAGAGCUCUGCAUGCAGAUGAAGCAGAGAAUGUGAAUGGGGAGUGCAGAGUAUCCCUAAGGAGUCUUUAAGCAUCAUAGUGAAUCAGGCCUCUGGAUCUGCUGACUGUCCUUUUCCAAGGAAAUGGAUUGGAUCCUAGUUGCCUUCAAACACAGGGUUAUCCAGAAAUCCUGAGGAGGAAUCGGCCCAAACUGAAAGUGGAUUGGGCCCAGAUUUGACCAUCUGAACUACUGAGAGAGGAAGGAGAGGCUACAGCAAGGAGAAAUGAAAGCUGUUGACAUGUGGCAGAUGUGUCAUGUGGAUUGAUUAAAACAGAGCUAAUCCAUGGGGGACAUCUUUAGUGUGGCCUUUGGGAUUUUGCUUUUUUCCUGCUUGCCCGUGCGAUUGUGCCGGGCAGCCUUUGGAGCCUCUGGUGUGAGAGCAGCUGGGGGUGACCUGAGGUUGUCCCUGUUGGAGCAGCUGUUGAGCUGGGAGGGGAGGCUGCUCCUGCCUUUCCAGGGCCAUCCCCCUCACUGUGAAGCCGUGCUGACUCAAAGUGCUUGCAGCUCUGUAGCUGGCCUGGUGUGACAGCUUGAUGUGAUGUUGGAGAGCAAUGACAAACAGCCAGGAGGUGAUGGGAAUAGCUCUUGCCUGUUGUGAAAGGAAAUGCUAAAAGCCAAAGAGCAGCCCUGCCCUGGAGAACUCUCCUGUGAAAAGCAACUCAAUGUCCAUCUCCACUCAGAAGCUGAAGUAAUGUAAUAUUAAAGAAUGUGCUGUAACACAUGCAACACUGGAAAUGCAGCUGUGGCACUGCUGAGUCUGAGCAUGCCAGGACCAGCUGGACACCUCCAUUACCCUGACUCCUGGGUGCCAGAGCCAAGUGAAGCCAGUUUUGCCAUGGUCAGACCUAACACUGCAACAACCUGGGUUUGCCAGCCCAGUAUAUCGUGCUCGGGCUGUUUUUUUUCAGCCAUGUCACCAUCACAUCAAACAACUUCCAGAAAUAGCUCCACCUUGCUUCUGCCAGUAUAAGUCUAUUGUUGACUGCAGCAGGAUUUGGGCUGCCAAGCGAUUGGUGUACGUCAACAUAUUUCUAUGGAAUUAUUUGGCAUCACUUUAGCACUUCAGGUAAGAAAGUGAUUUAGCUGAGAAUGCUGUGGUUAGGGUAGCCUGAAACAUCUGUGUUAAGGAGCAUUCUUCAGAG